This is a long non-coding RNA of Lemur catta (Ring-tailed lemur), 641 nucleotides long. RefSeq lists it as uncharacterized. The transcript is spliced from 3 exons. NCBI's taxonomy places the organism in Eukaryota, Metazoa, Chordata, Mammalia, Primates, Lemuridae. The record is from RefSeq and is a predicted model, not a curated record.
GGUGGCUGGGACUACAGUUGUCUUCAUUCUUCUGAUGUGGCCUCAGGAACAAGUGCUGAAAUUUCGCACUGCAACUACCUCCUCCAUGGAACAUGACUUCCUGGGACAAAUCUAUCCCAGUUCCAAAGGACUUAUCAAAAUAAUUGAUUGUCAAUGCUUUCUGAAGAAAGAUCUCAAUAAAAAGGGAGAAAUGUCAAAAGAAAUCCAAAAUGGAGAUGAUUAUGUCAGAGGUCUCUAAAAAGGAGCCAAGAGGGCAGGUAGAGUUGGACCCCAGUCACAUACACACCCAGAUGGAAAUGGACCUGUUUGAACUUGGCCAAACUGCAAACAUCCUGAAAAAGCAGCUGAAUUUUAUUUGAGCUGUUUACACUGGGCCCACUCACAAAAACCUCCUGAGGAGAGAGAUGUGCCAAAUUAAGUUGUUCAUUGCCUAAGACAUUCUAAGCUGUCAAUCAGCCACUGGCAUCAUGAACUAUAAGAAAAUCUUCCACUUGCAUAAACUUGCAGGAAACCUUUAUAAGCCUCUACCUAGCCUCGUCUGGAUGGAACGUAAUUUAGCUGCUUGCUAGAUUUGUGUUUCUUGAAUUGAAUUGAAUUCAUAAAAGACUCUGAUUAAAACACCUUCUGUUUGCUGCUCUGCA